Long non-coding RNA from Zonotrichia leucophrys gambelii, 3003 nucleotides. RefSeq lists it as uncharacterized. The record is from RefSeq and is a predicted model, not a curated record. Lineage: Eukaryota; Metazoa; Chordata; Aves; Passeriformes; Passerellidae. The transcript is spliced from 4 exons.
CAGUGUUUCCCCCAAACUGCAUCUUUUCAAAAGCUGUUUUAAUCUGUAGGAGCCAGACUGUAAAUUAACCAAAAAACAGCCUAGGAAAAGCAAAUAUUGGUGCAGAGCAAGCUCAAGACUGGCUGAUUCAUUGAAACCUCAUGCUGUUCCUAGGAGCUAUGGUGGGAAAGCUGGAACCUGGAAAGUGCCAACCUUAAGCUGUGCUUCAAUGCUCCAAAGCCUCUGCAGCCCAAACCAGGUGAGAAAGCAACUCAUGCCAGAGAUUUUGGUGAAAAACUGAGGAAGGAUGUUGCAAAAAACAAGCACAAGAACAAAGGCUGAUGAGGAUGAAGACAAGAAGAAAAGCAACUCCUUUUUUUUGAAGAGGAAUCUCCAAAUUUUGGAGGGAUGUUCCAGAACCCCCUGAAUUUGAUGGAAACAUCAGAACUUCCUUCAUCAGGCACUGGAUCAGACUUCACAUGUUAAUUUGACAGACCAGUCUGGAAUACUGGCUCCUCAAUGGGUUUGAUCGAAGAAAAAGGAUUUUAAUUUGUGAAAUACAUGGGAGUAUGAGAGGAAAUUACAUCUGGGGAUUGCACCAGGUGAUUUCUGUUUAAUAAGAUGAGAGACUUCCCUCGGUCCAUUUGGAAACCACUUGACAGGGUCUGUGCAGCUGCUUAAUUGGAUGCAUUAAAGCAUCUGACUGGUGCAUCCAUCAGCGUCCUUGCAGCCUCCAGGAGCUUUCUGAUGGCUUUGGAAUUUUGCUUGGCAUGUCCUAUUCCUUAGAAAAGCUCCUCUCCAAAGCUGACAGCUCCCAGCCUGACCAUGGUGGCAAGGAUGAAGGAUUUGGGCACAUCCAGCCCUGCAGGCUGGAGUUGAGCAUGGGCUGUAGAUCCCAGGAUCAGAAUUUGGAGGUGAAAAUCUGGAGCUUUGCUGUGAGACACGUUCACUGUGGAUGUACAUUCCAGGAUCAGGAGUUUGGAGGUGAGAGUUUGGAGCUUUGCUGUGGGACAAGUUCACUGUGGCUGAGAUGGAUUUGGGCACAUCCAACCCUGCAGGCUGGACCUGAUCCCAGGGCUGUAGAACCCAGGAUCAGGAAUUUGGAGGUGAAGGUUUGGAUUUUUGCUGUGAGAUGUUCACUGUGGCUGUAGAUCCCAAGAUCAGCAAUUUGAAGGUGAAAAUCUGGAUUUUUGCUGUGAGACACGUUCACUGUGGCUGAGAUGGAUAUGGGCACCUCCCUGCAGGCUGGAGCUGAUCGCAGGGCUGUAGAUCCCAGGAUCAAGAAUUUGGAGGUGAAAAUUUGGAUUUUUGCUGUGAGACACAUUCACUGUAGAUCCCAGGAUCAGAAUUUGGAGGUGAAAAUCUGGAUUUUUGCUGUGAGACACGUUCACUGAGGCUGAGAUGGAUUCCAGAGGUCGAUAGCUCAGCCCCCAGAAAGAAAUGAGGUGAAAGAGCCUGAUUGUGUUGGACACCCUGCAGCUGACUCAGCAAGGCCAAGUGUGCAACCUCAAAAUUAAAUACUUUGAAGCUGAUUUAAUUGUCACAUGAGCUGUGAGUUUUUUAAUCAGGUGCCUGUUUCUAUCUGACAUGGGGAUGCUAUUUCUGUGUAGGGAUGAUGGCAGCAAUGCUGUCUCUGCUUUUCUGUGCGAGGCCAGGUGUAAGCAUUGUGUCAUUUUUAUUCAGACAAUUCCAGCAUUUCAGAGCUUCCUCACUAAUUUAGUUUUAAUUGUCCAGACCUUGCCCUCAUCAAGCAAAAGAAAAAUGGGUCUGGCACUUCCACGUUACCAUGAGCUGCUCAAAAUGAGAGAUAAAUGAGGGACAAAGCCAUUAAAAUGAUGUGGGCAGUGCAAUUUUAACAGCCAAACUCGAGUGGAGCGUGUUGGUUGUGUGUGAAUAUCCCCAUUACCAAAGUAAAUAAGCCCAGCUGUUGGCAAAUCUGAAUUUCAGCUCUAAAUGGCCUUGGCUUCUCAGUGACCUCUGCAGAGAGGGAACAGCUGGAUUGCUCACACAGAUCCUGCCGCGUCGGGCCAGUUUUUGUGUGAGUGAAUAUUGAGGUUUUUCCUGCUCUGGCUGUGCUGCAGAUGUGGGCACUGGGAGCUGAUUUGCUGUUUGAGGCUCUGAACCAUCACUCAUUAAAGCCACUCUGCUGCCUUUAGCAUCAGGCUGGCAGUAAAUCUGUAUCACAUUCUUCUCUGCUGCUAACAUCAACAAUUCCCAGGCAGAAGCUUCCUCGUUUGAGGGUGUGUUUAAAUGGCUAUCUUGUAUCUGAAAUUUAGUCCUGGUAAUGUAUUAAUUAGCCUUUUUUUUUGGAGUUUAGUGUACCUUUUAAUUAACUGAAGCCAGCAACACAGUUUACACAUUUAAAAUCCCAGUCCUUUAAAUCGUUGCAAGUUUUGUCCUAAACUCACAGAAAUCAAUAGAUAGAGUCCUGCAGCUUUCCCAAGAGCUAAAUGCCUGUAAUUACAGCUGGAAGGUGAGACCCCAGAGUGGGGACAGAAAGUUUUCUGGGGUGCUUUGCUGUUUGUCCCCGCAGCACUCACACAUUUAAAAUCCUAAUCCUUUAAAUCAUUGCAAGUUUUGUCCUAAACUCACAGAAAUCAAUAGAUAAAGUCCUGCAGCUUUCCCAAGAGCUAAAUGCCCGUAAUUACAGCUGGAAGGUGAGACCCCAGAGUGGGGACAGAAAGUUUUCUGGGAUGCUUUGCUGUUCCUCCCCUCAGCACUCAGGGCACUCCUGCCUGGCCAGUAACGAGCAGGGCUCCAGGAGCGUUGUGUACUUUUGCUUUGAUUUGAUUUAAUGCUCUCUACAGUGAUAACAAUCACUCAGGCACCACGUCCAGCCUCUGCCUGCUGCUCUCCUGCCUUGUUAAAUGCAAGUGCACUCUCGGCUGAAGUGGCUGCAGCGAUUUGAGAUCCGUGCUCAUCACCUCGUUAACAAAAUCCAAAAUUCCCAUCCAGGCAACCCCUCAGGCUCCUUUCCCCAGGAAAGCAGCACAUCCCUGCCUCCCACCCUGCUCCUGAGAUGCU